This 368-nucleotide ribosomal RNA is filed under the name uncultured bacterium. RNAcentral describes it as "bacterial SSU rRNA". It matches the Rfam family "Bacterial small subunit ribosomal RNA", at positions 8 to 376 of the family's 1533-position model. The record is from RNAcentral.
AGAGUUUGAUCCUGGCUCAGAUUGAACGCUGGCGGCAUGCUUUACACAUGCAAGUCGAACGGCAGCACGGGUGCUUGCACCUGGUGGCGAGUGGCGAACGGGUGAGUAAUGCACCGGAACGUACCCAGUAAUGGGGGAUAACACAUCGAAAGAUGUGCUAAUACCGCAUGCGCCCUGAGGGGGAAAGCGGGGGAUCGUAAGACCUCGCGUUAUUGGAGCGGCCGAUGCCGGAUUAGCUAGUUGGUGAGGUAAGAGCUCACCAAGGCGACGAUCCGUAGCUGGUCUGAGAGGACGACCAGCCCUACUAGGACUGAGACACGGCCCAGACUCCUACGGGAGGCAGCAGUGGGGAAUUUUGGACAAUGGGC